CACUCUAAGGUUCCCAGAUCUCUCUGGGGCCUCCAAAUGUUGUCGAGUGGAAUGAACGACUAUCAACGCCAAUUAAGGUUAAAGGGAGUCUUUAUUAG
RNAcentral lists this microRNA precursor (98 nucleotides) under Tupaia belangeri (northern tree shrew). RNAcentral's name for it is "miRNA (ENSTBEG00000019939.1)". Lineage: Eukaryota; Metazoa; Chordata; Mammalia; Scandentia; Tupaiidae. The record is from RNAcentral.